RNAcentral lists this transfer RNA (78 nucleotides) under Nocardioides deserti. Its description in RNAcentral is "tRNA-Ser". The record is from RNAcentral. Lineage: Bacteria; Bacillati; Actinomycetota; Actinomycetes; Propionibacteriales; Nocardioidaceae.
CGAGGGGCUGGACCGGCCGCCGCUCGAGCCGGUCUGCUGAACCGGUGGGCGGCGCCGUGCAACCCGACGACCGCUCGA